GGAGGGUGCGAGCGUUGUUCGGAAUUAUUGGGCGUAAAGCGCGUGUAGGCGGCUUGGUAAGUCGGGUGUGAAAGCCCGGGGCCCAACCCCGGAACUGCAUUCGAUACUGCCUCGCUAGAGUCCCGGAGAGGAGAGCGGAAUUCCCGGUGUAGAGGUGAAAUUCGUAGAUAUCGGGAGGAACACCAGCGGCGAAGGCGGCUCUCUGGACGGUGACUGACGCUGAGACGCGAAAGCGUGGGGAGCAAACAGGAUUAGAUACCCUGGUAGUCCACGCCGUAAACGUUGGGCGCUAGGUGUCGCGGGUAUUGACCCCCCUGCGGUGCCGUCGCUAACGCAUUUAGCACCCCGCCUGGGGAGUACGGUCGCAAGGCUA
RNAcentral lists this ribosomal RNA (373 nucleotides) under uncultured organism. RNAcentral describes it as "partial 16S ribosomal RNA". It matches the Rfam family "Bacterial small subunit ribosomal RNA", at positions 527 to 896 of the family's 1533-position model. The record is from RNAcentral.